CUAAACUACGGGCCGGCGGCCUCGGUAAAACGUAGAAGGCAAGGGUUAGCCGGAUUUACGUGCGGUAAAGCGCACGAAGGCGGCGGCGUAAGUCGGACGUGAAAGCUCCUGGCUCAACUGGGAGAGUGCGCUGCGAACUGAGGUCCUAGAGGGUAGGCGAAGGGGGUGGAAUUCCCGGUGGAGUGGUGAAAUGCGUAGAUAUCGGGAGGAACACCAGUGGCGAAAGCGGCCCCCUAGCCUACAACUGACGCUGAAGCGCGAGAGCGUGGGGAGCAAACGGGAUUAGAUACCCGAGUAGUC
RNAcentral lists this ribosomal RNA (300 nucleotides) under uncultured Pyrobaculum sp. RNAcentral describes it as "partial 16S ribosomal RNA". It matches the Rfam family "Bacterial small subunit ribosomal RNA", at positions 496 to 795 of the family's 1533-position model. Lineage: Archaea; Thermoproteati; Thermoproteota; Thermoprotei; Thermoproteales; Thermoproteaceae. The record is from RNAcentral.